This 253-nucleotide ribosomal RNA is filed under the name uncultured bacterium. RNAcentral describes it as "partial 16S ribosomal RNA". It matches the Rfam family "Bacterial small subunit ribosomal RNA", at positions 524 to 776 of the family's 1533-position model. The record is from RNAcentral.
UACGAAGGGGGCUAGCGUUGUUCGGAAUCACUGGGCGUAAAGGGCGCGUAGGCGGCUUUAUAAGUCGGGGGUGAAAGCCUGUGGCUCAACCACAGAAUUGCCUUCGAUACUGUAGAGCUUGAGACCGGAAGAGGUAAGUGGAACUGCGAGUGUAGAGGUGAAAUUCGUAGAUAUUCGCAAGAACACCAGUGGCGAAGGCGGCCAACUGGUCCGGUACUGACGCUGAGGUGCGAAAGCGUGGGGAGCAAACAGG